GAUGAACGCUGGCGGUAUGCUUUACACAUGCAAGUCGUACGGGAGUUUUUAACUCAAGUGGCGGACGGGUGAGUAACACGUAAGAAUUUGCCUUUAGGAGGGGGAUAACAACUGGAAACGGUUGCUAAUACCCCAUAUGCUUUCGAGUGAAAUGGAUUUUUCCGCCUAAAGAGAAGCUUGCGGCUGAUUAGCUUGUUGGUAGGGUAAUGGCCUACCAAGGCGACGAUCAGUAUCUGGUUUGAGAGGACGAUCAGACACACUGGAACUGAGACACGGUCCAGACUCCUACGGGAGGCAGCAGUGGGGAAUUUUCCGCAAUGGGCGAAAGCCUGACGGAGCAAUACCGCGUGAGGGAUGACGGCCUAUGGGUUGUAAACCUCUUUUUUCAGGGAGGAAUCAAUGACGUGUACCUGAAGAAUAAGCAUCGGCUAACUCCGUGCCAGCAGCCGCGGUAAGACGGAGGAUGCAAGUGUUAUCCGGAAUCACUGGGCGUAAAGCGUCUGUAGGUGGUCAAAUAAGUCAACUGUUAAAUCUUGAGGCUCAACCUCAAAAUCGCAGUCGAAACUAUUCGACUAGAGUAUAGUA
Molecule: ribosomal RNA, 585 nt
Filed under: uncultured bacterium
Lineage: Bacteria
Description: bacterial SSU rRNA
Rfam family: Bacterial small subunit ribosomal RNA
Source: RNAcentral